CCCUUAGAGUUUGAUCCUGGCUCAGGACGAACGCUGGCGGCGCGCCUAACACGUGCAAGUCGAACGGAGACACUCUGUUCACUGAAUGGUAGAAGGCGGCGGAACCAGAAAGGGAGCGUCGGUUUUCUACUGUUGAGUGAAUAGAGUGUCUUAGUGGCGGACGGGUGAGUAACGCGUGAAUAACCUGCCUUGCAGUGGGGAAUAACACACCGAAAGGUGUGCUAAUACCGCAUGAUGUAAGGGGAAGGCAUCUUCCCCUUACCAAAGAUUUAUCGCUGUGAGAUGGAUUCGCGUCCGAUUAGAUAGUUGGUGAGGUAACGGCCCACCAAGUCGACGAUCGGUAGCCGGACUGAGAGGUUGAACGGCCACAUUGGGACUGAGACACGGCCCAGGCUCCUACGGGAGGCAGCAGUGGGGGAUAUUGCACAAUGGGCGCAAGCCUGAUGCAGCGACGCCGCGUGUGGGAAGACGGCCCUCGGGUUGUAAACCACUGGCUUUGGGGAC
RNAcentral lists this ribosomal RNA (504 nucleotides) under uncultured bacterium. Its description in RNAcentral is "bacterial SSU rRNA". It matches the Rfam family "Bacterial small subunit ribosomal RNA", at positions 1 to 446 of the family's 1533-position model. The record is from RNAcentral.